GAGUUUGAUCUUGGCUCAGAUUGAACGCUGGCGGCAGGCCUAACACAUGCAAGUCGAGCGGUAGAGUAGAAGCUUGCUUCUCUUGAGAGCGGCGGACGGGUGAGUAAUGCCUAGGAAUCUGCCUGGUAGUGGGGGAUAACGCUCGGAAACGGACGCUAAUACCGCAUACGUCCUACGGGAGAAAGCAGGGGACCUUCGGGCCUUGCGCUAUCAGAUGAGCCUAGGUCGGAUUGGCUAGUUGGUGAGGUAAUGGCUCACCAAGGCGACGAUCCGUAACUGGUCUGAGAGGAUGAUCAGUCACACUGGAACUGAGACACGGUCCAGACU
RNAcentral lists this ribosomal RNA (327 nucleotides) under uncultured bacterium. RNAcentral's name for it is "bacterial SSU rRNA". It matches the Rfam family "Bacterial small subunit ribosomal RNA", at positions 9 to 337 of the family's 1533-position model. The record is from RNAcentral.